This 253-nucleotide ribosomal RNA is filed under the name uncultured bacterium. RNAcentral describes it as "partial 16S ribosomal RNA". It matches the Rfam family "Bacterial small subunit ribosomal RNA", at positions 524 to 776 of the family's 1533-position model. The record is from RNAcentral.
UACGUAGGUGGCGAGCGUUUUCCGGAUUUAUUGGGCGUAAAGAGCCCGCAGGCGGCUUGGCAAGUUUCGGGUGAAAUCUCCCGGCUUAACCGGGAGGGUGCCCGGAAAACUGCCAGGCUUGAGGCAUGGAGAGGGAUGCGGAAUUCCCGGUGUAGUGGUGAAAUGCGUAGAUAUCGGGAGGAACACCAGUGGCGAAGGCGGCAUCCUGGCCAUGUCCUGACGCUCAGGGGCGAAAGCGUGGGGAGCAAACCGG